CCACACCCAUGUUUACAAGUUGAUCGCCAGGUGCAAGUUCAUUGUAUACCAACGAAUCCAAUUGAAUGCGCUCAGUAAAUUUAUAAGACUCGCAACACGCUAUUACUGGAACAUUAGACUCGUGUCCCAAAAGGGAAAUUAAAGAGGUACCGGCACGAGAAUAUAGAGCACCAUUCGAAAGCAUAGCAUGGCCUCCAAGGAAAAUUUUGGUCACUUCUUGCAUGAUAUAGGAAAGCGCUGAAAUCAUGACAUAGGUACAUUCAAUCCCAUGCUCGGUCAACAGCUUCAAACAAACCCGGCCUUCAAAUUCUGGACGAGAGUCUACCACGACAACCCGGAAUUUUUUACCAACAUUCUUAGCAUGAAUGAGAACAUCGUUUACUGUCGAAGAGUGCAAGUACGUUAAAAUGACAUCUCCGUCUUGUAUUUUUUCGGUUGCUGCUUGUACGAUGACUUGUCCUGCAAUGAUAAUACGAUCGCGAAUAUAACUGUCAAUUUUUUCCAGAAGCAAUUCUUUUCCCUCGUCGUCGGUAAGGUCAAUGUCUAAAACAGAAAUUUCGAGUUUUAAAAAGCGAAUGGCGUUCCCCAUACUGAUACUCAACGGACGAGUUGAUACUAAAUAAGCAAUUUGAGAAUUUAUAUGCGUGGUCAGAUGCCUGCUCAACGUCGUACCGUAGGGUGUUUGAUAAUCUUGGAUGACGAUUUUAAAAGUUUUCAACAAAUCAAUACAGCGCUGAUUCGAUCCAAAAAUCUUAUAAUUUGCAAGUUUUAAACCCAAACGAAUAACAGCAGGAUGGAUAUCUUUCGGAAUAUUUUCAGUGGUUCUACGACGUCUCCAAUCGAGGUGCGAAAAGAUAGAAACUUGCUUUUCCUCAAAAAUCUUUUUUUCUUGCAAAUUAGCAUCAGUUUCUGGACUAUUCUGCGGGUUUUGUUUCGAUGCCUUCUUUUGUUGGUUACUAUUUUUAUUAGGGAUAGCUACCUUUUUUUCUUCUGAAACACCGGGUGGAUUAUUCGCGGCAGCUGCUUCGGCUUUUGCUCUUCUACUUGCUUGUUUUCUGGCCUUUUUCAACGCUUUUGCCUCCUUCCCUGAAAGUUUUGGCUCAUUGGGAGAAACGACAGAAGAAGCUGUAGCUGGAGAUGUUCCUCCCACACUAGAGCUUUCACUAACAGGGCUUUGAUCCUUCCCAUCCUUUUUUGCUUGUUCUGCUGAGAACCCCAUCAGAAAAUCAAUAUUUCUAU
Molecule: non-coding RNA, 1239 nt
Organism: Schizosaccharomyces pombe (fission yeast)
Lineage: Eukaryota; Fungi; Ascomycota; Schizosaccharomycetes; Schizosaccharomycetales; Schizosaccharomycetaceae
Source: the annotation of a GenBank genome assembly